AGGACACUCUAUACGGAGUUACAAAGGACGACAUUAGACGAAUCAUCUGGAAAGAUGAAUCAAAGAAGGUAAUAAUCCUGUAGUCGAAAAUGUUGUCUCUCUUGAGUGGAUCCUGAGUACGACGGAGCACGUGAAAUUCCGUCGGAAUCUGGGAGGACCAUCUCCUAAGGCUAAAUACUCUCUAGUGACCGAUAGUGAACCAGUACCGUGAGGGAAAGGUGAAAAGCACCCCGGAAGGGGAGUGAAAUAGAACCUGAAACCGUGUGCUUACAAGUAGUCAGAGCCCGUUAAUGGGUGAUGGCGUGCCUUUUGUAGAAUGAACCGGCGAGUUACGAUUUGAUGCAAGGUUAAGCAGUAAAUGUGGAGCCGUAGCGAAAGCGAGUCUGAAUAGGGCGUUUAGUAUUUGGUCGUAGACCCGAAACCAGGUGAUCUACCCUUGGUCAGGUUGAAGUUCAGGUAACACUGAAUGGAGGACCGAACCGACUUACGUUGAAAAGUGAGCGGAUGAACUGAGGGUAGCGGAGAAAUUCCAAUCGAACCUGGAGAUAGCUGGUUCUCUCCGAAAUAGCUUUAGGGCUAGCCUCAAGUGAUGAUUAUUGGAGGUAGAGCACUGUUUGGACGAGGGGCCCCUCUCGGGUUACCGAAUUCAGACAAACUCCGAAUGCCAAUUAAUUUAACUUGGGAGUCAGAACAUGGGUGAUAAGGUCCGUGUUCGAAAGGGAAACAGCCCAGACCACCAGCUAAGGUCCCAAAAUAUAUGUUAAGUGGAAAAGGAUG
Molecule: ribosomal RNA, 777 nt
Filed under: Staphylococcus aureus
Lineage: Bacteria; Bacillati; Bacillota; Bacilli; Caryophanales; Staphylococcaceae
Description: partial 23S ribosomal RNA
Rfam family: Bacterial large subunit ribosomal RNA
Source: RNAcentral